Harpia harpyja (harpy eagle) is the source of this 478-nucleotide non-coding RNA. Lineage: Eukaryota; Metazoa; Chordata; Aves; Accipitriformes; Accipitridae. The record is from the annotation of a RefSeq genome assembly.
UCUUUGGUCUUUCCUUCUCCUUUCUCGGCAGUGGCUGUGGUCAGAGCCCAGGUGCAGCAGGAGGCGUCGGCAGAGACCACCGAGGGCACCGGCAUCAGCAUCAACUGCUCACACCCCAACAUACAGACCGGCGACUCCAUCCUCUGGUACCGCCAGCUCCCGGGCCGAGGCCCCGCAUUCCUCGUGAGCACUCUUAAGGGCUCCAAAGAGCUGCCGGACCCGCCGGGGCGGCUGUCGGUGGCGGCAGACCGCCGGUCCAGCGCCCUGUGGCUCGCCCGGCCCCGGCGCGGGGACGCGGCGGUGUAUUACUGCGCCCUGAGAGACACGGGGAGAGGAGCCGGGGCUGCGGCCGAGCACGAACCGCCGCGGGCGGGGCCGGGCCUUCCCUGCCAACCGUGUGAGCAAAGAGCCCUGGGUGCAAGUGGCAGAGGAGCCCUGCUCCAGGCAGCAGACAUCAGAAGACAUGAAAAUCAAGUAG